GCUCCAGUGGCCUAGUGGUUAGAGCGUCCGCCUCGGAUGUGGGAAGCCGCGGGUUCGAAGUCCGGUCGAAUCA
Molecule: non-coding RNA, 73 nt
Organism: Potamilus streckersoni
Lineage: Eukaryota; Metazoa; Mollusca; Bivalvia; Unionida; Unionidae
Source: the annotation of a GenBank genome assembly